UACGAAGGGGGCUAGCGUUGUUCGGAAUCACUGGGCGUAAAGGGCGCGUAGGCGGUUUGGUAAGUUAGGAGUGAAAUGCCAGGGCUUAACCUUGGAACUGCUCUUAAAACUGCCAGGCUAGAGUAUGGGAGAGGAUGGUGGAAUUCCUAGUGUAGAGGUGAAAUUCGUAGAUAUUAGGAGGAACACCGGUGGCGAAGGCGACCAUCUGGACCAUUACUGACGCUGAGGCGCGAAAGCGUGGGGAGCAAACAGG
RNAcentral lists this ribosomal RNA (253 nucleotides) under uncultured bacterium. RNAcentral describes it as "partial 16S ribosomal RNA". It matches the Rfam family "Bacterial small subunit ribosomal RNA", at positions 524 to 776 of the family's 1533-position model. The record is from RNAcentral.